AGACGUAGGGGGCGAGCGUUGCUCGGAAUCACUGGGCUUAAAGGGCGCGUAGGCGGUUGUGCAAGGCUGGGGUGGAAGCCCACGGCUCAACCGGGGAAAGGCCCUAGAAACUGCACGACUUGAGUGAGAGAGGGGAGGGCGGAAUUCCCGGUGUAGCGGUGAAAUGCGUAGAUAUCGGGAGGAAGGCCGGUGGCGAAGGCGGCCCUCUGGCGCUUGACUGACGCUGAGGCGCGAAAGCGUGGGGAGCAAACAGGAUUAGAUACCCUAGUAGUCC
This 274-nucleotide ribosomal RNA is filed under the name uncultured bacterium. RNAcentral describes it as "partial 16S ribosomal RNA". It matches the Rfam family "Bacterial small subunit ribosomal RNA", at positions 523 to 796 of the family's 1533-position model. The record is from RNAcentral.